RNAcentral lists this ribosomal RNA (722 nucleotides) under uncultured eukaryote. RNAcentral describes it as "SSU rRNA". It matches the Rfam family "Eukaryotic small subunit ribosomal RNA", at positions 591 to 1319 of the family's 1831-position model. The record is from RNAcentral.
CUCAAAGCGUAUAUUAAGUUGUUGCAGUUAAAACGCUCGUAGUCGGGUUUCGGGUCGGGCCGAGCGGUCUGCCGAUGGGUAUGCACUGUUUGGCGCGGCCUUCUUUCCGGAGACCGCGGCUACUCUUAACUGAGCGGGCGUGGGAGACGGAUCGUUUACUUUGAAAAAAUCAGAGUGUUUCAAGCAGGCAGCUCGCUCUUGCAUGGUACAGCAUGGGAUGAUUGAAUAGGACUCCGGUGCUAUUUUGUUGGUUUCGAACACCAGGAGUAAUGAUUAACAGGGACAGUCAGGGGCACUCGUAUUCCGUCGAGAGAGGUGAAAUUCUCAGACCAAUGGAAGACGAACCACUGCGAAAGCAUUUGCCAGGGAUGUUUUCACUGAUCAAGAACGAAAGUUAGGGGAUCGAAGACGAUCAGAUACCGUCGUAGUCUUAACCAUAAACCAUGCCGACUAGGGAUUGGAGGGUGUUCGUUUCGACCUCUUCAGCACCUUACGGGAAACUAAAGUCUUUGGGUUCCGGGGGGAGUAUGGUCGCAAGGCUGAAACUUAAAGAAAUUGACGGAAGGGCACCACCAGGAGUGGAGCCUGCGGCUUAAUUUGACUCAACACGGGGAAACUUACCAGGUCCAGACAUUGUUAGGAUUGACAGAUUGAGAGCUCUUUCUUGAUUCGAUGGGUGGUGGUGCAUGGCCGUUCUUAGUUGGUGGAGUGAUUUGUCUGGU